This 468-nucleotide ribosomal RNA is filed under the name uncultured bacterium. RNAcentral's name for it is "SSU rRNA". It matches the Rfam family "Bacterial small subunit ribosomal RNA", at positions 26 to 518 of the family's 1533-position model. The record is from RNAcentral.
AGAGCGAACGCUGGCGGCAGGCCUAAUACAUGCAAGUCGAACGCACCUUCGGGUGAGUGGCGGACGGGUGAGUAACACGUGGGAACGUGCCUUUUGGUUCGGAAUAAUCCGGGGAAACCUGGCCUAAUACCGGAUGUGCCCUUCGGGGGAAAGAUUUAUCGCCAUUAGAGCGGCCCGCGUCUGAUUAGCUUGUUGGUGGGGUAAUGGCCCACCAAGGCUACGAUCAGUAGCUGGUCUGAGAGGAUGAUCAGCCACACCGGGACUGAGACACGGCCCAGACUCCUACGGGAGGCAGCAGUAGGGAAUCUUCCACAAUGGACGAAAGUCUGAUGGAGCAAUGCCGCGUGAGUGAAGAAGGUUUUCGGAUCGUAAAGCUCUGUUGUAAGGGAAGAACAAGUAUGGGAGUAACUGCCCGUACUUGACGGUACCUUAUUAGAAAGCCACGGCUAACUACGUGCCAGCAGCCGC